This 253-nucleotide ribosomal RNA is filed under the name uncultured bacterium. Its description in RNAcentral is "partial 16S ribosomal RNA". It matches the Rfam family "Bacterial small subunit ribosomal RNA", at positions 524 to 776 of the family's 1533-position model. The record is from RNAcentral.
UACGUAGGGGGCAAGCGUUGUCCGGAAUCAUUGGGCGUAAAGAGCGUGUAGGCGGCCUGGUAAGUCCGCUGUGAAAGUCCAGGGCUCAACCCUGGAAUGCCGGUGGAAACUGUCAGGCUCGAGUCCGGAAGAGGCGAGUGGAAUUCCUGGUGUAGCGGUGAAAUGCGCAGAUAUCAGGAGGAACACCAAUGGCGAAGGCGGCGCUCUGGGCUGCACCUGACGCUGAGAUGCGAAAGUGUGGGGAGCAAACGGG